RNAcentral lists this long non-coding RNA (208 nucleotides) under Elaeis guineensis (African oil palm). Its description in RNAcentral is "long non-coding RNA (EGUI_LNC050176)". The record is from RNAcentral. Lineage: Eukaryota; Viridiplantae; Streptophyta; Magnoliopsida; Arecales; Arecaceae.
AUGGCUGAAGAGUCUAAUUGGAUUGUAACUCUCGUGAAGAGUCCUACUUGGACUAGGAGUCUGUGGGAGAGUCCCACUAAGACUAAGACUCUACCAUUUAUGAAGAAUUAAUUAAUAAUUAGAUUACUAAUUCAUUCAAUUUGAUUGAGUAAAGAGCUUUGGAAUAAGUCUAAUUGAAUUAGAUUCAGUUCGACUCAGAUUGGGAUUG